RNAcentral lists this ribosomal RNA (429 nucleotides) under Bacteroidota bacterium. RNAcentral describes it as "Bacteroidetes bacterium partial 16S ribosomal RNA". It matches the Rfam family "Bacterial small subunit ribosomal RNA", at positions 355 to 776 of the family's 1533-position model. Lineage: Bacteria; Pseudomonadati; Bacteroidota. The record is from RNAcentral.
UAGGGAAUCUUCGGCAAUGGGGGGAACCCUGACCGAGCAACGCCGCGUGAGUGAAGAAGGUUUUCGGAUCGUAAAGCUCUGUUGUUAAGGAAGAACGAGUGUGAGAAUGGAAAGUUCAUACUGUGACGGUACUUAACCAGAAAGGGACGGCUAACUACGUGCCAGCAGCCGCGGUAAUACGUAGGUCCCGAGCGUUGUCCGGAUUUAUUGGGCGUAAAGCGAGCGCAGGCGAUUAGAUAAGUCUGAAGUUAAAGGCAGUGGCUCAACCAUUGUAGGCUUUGGAAACUGUUUAACUUGAGUGCAGAAGGGGAGAGUGGAAUUCCAUGUGUAGCGGUGAAAUGCGUAGAUAUAUGGAGGAACACCGGUGGCGAAAGCGGCUCUCUGGUCUGUAACUGACGCUGAGGCUCGAAAGCGUGGGGAGCGAACAGG